GAUGAAGAACGUAGUGAAAUGCGAUAAGUAGUGUGAAUUGCAGAAUUCAGUGAAUCAUCGAAUCUUUGAACGCACAUUGCGCCCCCUGGUAUUCCGGGGGGCAUGCCUGUCCGAGCGUCAUUGCAACCCUCAAGCACGGCUUGUCUAAUGGGCGGUUCGUCUGCGGCCAUCCGCCGGAGACGCCCCCGAAAUGCAGUGGGGAUGUUCGCUAAAUCGCAGCGUCAGGAAUGGAAAUAAACAAUGCUGACGGCUCGAUGUCGAACGUCCACCUAAGGCGUACCGCCCCCCGGGGUGUGCCGCCCAACCUCUCUCGGUUGACCUCGGAUCAGGUAGGGAUACCCGCUGAACUUAAGCAUAUAAUAAGCGGAGGA
Molecule: unclassified non-coding RNA, 371 nt
Filed under: soil metagenome
Description: partial contains 5.8S ribosomal RNA, internal transcribed spacer 2, and large subunit ribosomal RNA
Rfam family: 5.8S ribosomal RNA (bases 1-120)
Source: RNAcentral